ACGAAUUCCUUCCUGUCACCAAUGUAACCGAUGGAAAAAUCAAUGUGAGUGAUCUUCCAUCUGUCCUGAAGUGCAUUGGGAGUAAUAUAAGUGAAGAAAAAAUUAAAGAAACGUUGAAAUCUCUUGAUAUUGAUGAAAAUGGAAAAGUGAAUCUCAAAGAUUUUGUCAAUGAAGUACCCAUAGAUGAAUUGUCUCGUAAGCUCCAACAAACUCAAAAUGUGUGUAAUGUUGUCAACAAUAUCACUGAUGGAAAAAUCAAUAUUGAUGAUCUGGAACCUGCCCUGAAAUGCUUAGGGAUUGAGUUAAAGGAGGAAGAGAUAAAAGAAACACUCAAAUCUUUUCAGCCUGAUGAAGAAGGAAAUGUGGAUUUUAAGGACAUUGUUAAGAAAGCAAUUGAAGAGCUUAACUUGGAAAAGA
Molecule: long non-coding RNA, 417 nt
Organism: Sarcophilus harrisii (Tasmanian devil)
Lineage: Eukaryota; Metazoa; Chordata; Mammalia; Dasyuromorphia; Dasyuridae
Exons: 4
Source: RefSeq, a predicted model, not a curated record